GAUUUUCUCCUUUUGACGGAUAUGAAUGAGUGGAUUAAUAACGAAUGUGCUUAGUGGAUUUUUCUUCACCAUACAUUUGUAACUAGUUCACUCAUUCACAUCCGUCAAAAGGAGAAAAUC
Non-coding RNA from Paramuricea clavata, 120 nucleotides. Lineage: Eukaryota; Metazoa; Cnidaria; Anthozoa; Malacalcyonacea; Plexauridae. The record is from the annotation of a GenBank genome assembly.